GACGAACGCUGGCGGCGUGCUUAACACAUGCAAGUCGAACGGAAAGGCCCUGCUUUUGUGGGGUGCUCGAGUGGCGAACGGGUGAGUAACACGUGAGUAACCUGCCCUUGACUUUGGGAUAACUUCAGGAAACUGGGGCUAAUACCGGAUAGGAGCUCCUGCUGCAUGGUGGGGGUUGGAAAGUUUCGGCGGUUGGGGAUGGACUCGCGGCUUAUCAGCUUGUUGGUGGGGUAGUGGCUUACCAAGGCUUUGACGGGUAGCCUGCCUGAGAGGGUGACCGGCCACAUUGGGACUGAGAUACGGCCCAGACGCCUACGGGAGGCAGCAGUGGGGAAUAUUGCAGAAUGGGCGGAAGCCUGAUGCAGCAACGCCGCGUGCGGGAUGACGGCCUUCGGGUUGUAAACCGCUUUCGCCUGUGACGAAGCGUGAGUGACGGUAAUGGGUAAAGAAGCACCGGCUAACUACGUG
RNAcentral lists this ribosomal RNA (468 nucleotides) under uncultured bacterium. RNAcentral's name for it is "partial 16S ribosomal RNA". It matches the Rfam family "Bacterial small subunit ribosomal RNA", at positions 28 to 507 of the family's 1533-position model. The record is from RNAcentral.